AGAGUUUGAUCCUGGCUCAGAACGAACGCUGGCGGCGCGUCUUAAGCAUGCAAGUCGGACGGCAAGAGGAGUGCUUGCACUUCUCCUAGAGUGGCGGACUGGUGAGUAACACGUGGGUGACGUACCCUACAGCCGGGGACAGCUGCUGGAAACAGCAGAUAAUACCGGAUACGAUCCUGUAUGUUAGAGGUACAGGAAGAAAGGAGCUCAGGCUCCACUGGAGGAACGGCCCGCGGCCCAUUAGCUUGUUGGUAAGGUAACGGCUUACCAAGGCGAUGAUGGGUAUCCGGCCUAAGAGGGUGGACGGACACAUUGGGACUGAGAUACGGCCCAGACUCCUACGGGAGGCAGCAGCUAAGAAUAUUCCGCAAUGGACGAAAGUCUGACGGAGCGACGCCGCGUGAACGAAGAAGGCCGAAAGGUUGUAAAGUUCUUUUAAGCUGGAAGAAUAAGUGAAACAGGUAAUGGUUUCAUGGUGACGGUACAGUUUGAAUAAGCAACGGCUAAUUACGUGCCAGCAGCCGCGGUAACACGUAAGUUGCGAGCGUUGUUCGGAAUUAUUGGGCGUAAAGGGCAUGUAGGCGGUUAUGCAAGCUUGGUGUGAAAGGCCGGAGCUCAACUCCGGGACUGCACUGAGAACUAUAUAGCUAGAGUUACUGAGGGGAAACCAGAAUUCCAGGUGUAGGGGUGAAAUCUGUAGAUAUCUGGAAGAAUACCAAUGGCGAAGGCAGGUUUCCAGCAGAUGACUGACGCUGAGGUGCGAAGGUGCGGGGAGCAAACAGGAUUAGAUACCCUAGUAGUCC
RNAcentral lists this ribosomal RNA (803 nucleotides) under uncultured bacterium. RNAcentral's name for it is "bacterial SSU rRNA". It matches the Rfam family "Bacterial small subunit ribosomal RNA", at positions 8 to 796 of the family's 1533-position model. The record is from RNAcentral.